UACACCUCAACUCGGGUAGGACUACCCGCUGAACUUAAGCAUAUCAAUAAGCCGGAGGA
RNAcentral lists this ribosomal RNA (59 nucleotides) under Tulasnella sp. Ec1B. Its description in RNAcentral is "Epulorhiza sp. Ec1B partial 25S ribosomal RNA". Lineage: Eukaryota; Fungi; Basidiomycota; Agaricomycetes; Cantharellales; Tulasnellaceae. The record is from RNAcentral.